RNAcentral lists this ribosomal RNA (497 nucleotides) under uncultured bacterium. RNAcentral describes it as "partial 16S ribosomal RNA". It matches the Rfam family "Bacterial small subunit ribosomal RNA", at positions 28 to 507 of the family's 1533-position model. The record is from RNAcentral.
GACGAACGCUGGCGGCGUGCCUAAUACAUGCAAGUAGAACGCUGAAGAGAGGAGCUUACUCUUCUUGGAUGAGUUGCGAACGGGUGAGUAACGCGUAGGUAACCUGCCUUGUAGCGGGGGAUAACUAUUGGAAACGAUAGCUAAUACCGCAUAACAAUGGAUGACACAUGUCAUUUAUUUGAAAGGGGCAAUUGCUCCACUACAAGAUGGACCUGCGUUGUAUUAGCUAGUAGGUGAGGUAAUGGCUCACCUAGGCGACGAUACAUAGCCGACCUGAGAGGAUGAUCGGCCACACUGGGACGGAGACACGGCCCAGCCUCCUGCGGGAGGCAGCAGUAGGGAAUCUUCGGCAAUGGGGGCAACCCUGACCGAGCAACGCCGCGUGAGUGAAGAAGGUUUUCGGAUCGUAAAGCUCUGUUGUAAGUCAAGAACGGGUGUGAGAGUGGAAAGUUCACACUGUGACGGUAGCUUACCAGAAAGGGACGGCUAACUACGUG